UCCUCAGUAGUUCAGUGGUAGAGCUAUCAGUUGUUAACCGACUGGUCUUAAGUUCAAAUACUACUUGAGGAG
This is a non-coding RNA of Solanum tuberosum (potato), 72 nucleotides long. The record is from Rfam. NCBI's taxonomy places the organism in Eukaryota, Viridiplantae, Streptophyta, Magnoliopsida, Solanales, Solanaceae.